Molecule: unclassified non-coding RNA, 256 nt
Filed under: root metagenome
Description: partial contains small subunit ribosomal RNA, internal transcribed spacer 1, and 5.8S ribosomal RNA
Source: RNAcentral
UUUCCGUAGGUGAACCUGCGGAAGGAUCAUUAUCGUGCAACCCGGGGGUGCGAGGGCUGUCGCUGACUUUUUAAAAAGGUCGUGCACGCCCGAGUGCUCUCACACACAUCCACCUCACCCUUUUGUGCAUCACCGCGUGGGUUCUCCUUUGCUGGAGGGCUCACGUUUUCACACAAAACUCGAUACAGUGUAGAAUGUUAAUUUUUGCGGUCACACGCAAUCAAUACAACUUUCAACAACGGAUCUCUUGGCUCUC